Molecule: long non-coding RNA, 300 nt
Filed under: Nicotiana benthamiana
Lineage: Eukaryota; Viridiplantae; Streptophyta; Magnoliopsida; Solanales; Solanaceae
Description: long non-coding RNA (NBEN_LNC021160)
Source: RNAcentral
UCUCUUUAUCACGUAUGCUCCCAACUAACUUCAGGUACGCCGCCUUCUUCGCUUCCACUUUACUUUGGAACACUUCAUUCCACCACCAAUCUCCUCUGUGCCCACCAGAGACGCUCGUCAAGACCCCUAACACUUCUCUUGCAGCCUCCCUUACACAUUCGGAUGUCGCCGACCAUAUAGUGCUCGCGUCACCACUGCUCUUCCAAGCUCUCAUAGCCGGCAAUUGUCCCCCCAACUCCUGAGCUUUAUCCUUAAUUAAAGCCAUUUCAUUUCAAGAAGAAUAAAUUUGUAAAAUUUAUC